AUGGGGGUAUUCAAACUACCUUACUCGCUAUGUGAUGAUCUCACUAGAAUGAUUCGAAACUUCUAUUGGGGUUCUGCAAAGGGCAAGAGGAAAGUGCACUGGAAAGGAUGGGAUCAUCUACUGCAGCCGAAAUCAAAGGGAGGGGUGGGAUUUCGAGAUCUUCGCUUCUUUAACCAGGCUUUGUUAUCAAGACAAGCUUGGAGGUUGAUUACUAGACCGGAAAGUCUGUGUGCUCGCGUCCUGAAAGCGAAAUAUUACCCAAACGGGAAACUAGAAGAUACUGUGUUCACGGGUAACUCGUCUUCUUCGUGGCAAGCUAUUAGUCAUGGGCUGGACCUUUUGAAGAAGGGAUUGCUUUGGAGGGUCGGUAAUGGUAAAAGUAUAAGAAUUUGGCGAGAUAGUUGGAUACCGAGACCUUUUUCUUACAAACCUAUCUCAGCACAAGGGAGGUGUCGAAUCCGGUAUGUGGCUGACUUGCUAAAUGAUAACGGGUCUUAGAAGUAUGAUCAAGUAUCGAAGUACUUCGCUGCAGCUAAUGUAUCUGAAAUUCUGAAGAUAAGGGCGUCCCCAAGGCAGGAAGAGGAUGUGUUGGCUUGGGGACCCGGUCGGUUUGGCCGAUUCUCUGUCAAAAGUGCAUAUGAUAUGGCUUUUGAAGAAGCUCAUAGGAGCAGAGCGGUAGCUAGCAGCACAAAUCCCAGUGGAAACAGAUCAUUAUGGAGGUUAAUCUGGUCAUCUGAGGUACCUCCAACUGUCCGUAAUUUUGCAUGGAGAUUAGUAUCAAAUAGCUUGCCCACUUGGCAGAACAAGAACAAGAUAGGACUAGAAGUGUCCACACUAUGCCCAGUUUGUGCUUUGGAGCCAGAGGAUAACUUUCAUCCAAUGGUGAGAUGCCCACUAGCUCAGCAGUUGUAUGGUGCCAUGGCUGAGGUCUGGAGAUUGCCGCCAAUUGAAGCAAUUAAUAAUUCGGGCAAGGAAUGGUUAUUCCAGGUCCUAGAAACACUUGAUGAAUCACAGCGAAGCAUGAUAUUAUUCACCUUUUGGAGA
This 1044-nucleotide ribosomal RNA is filed under the name Triticum aestivum (bread wheat). RNAcentral describes it as "partial small subunit ribosomal RNA". The record is from RNAcentral. Lineage: Eukaryota; Viridiplantae; Streptophyta; Magnoliopsida; Poales; Poaceae.